GGCAAGAUGGCCGAGCGGUCUAAGGCGCUGUGUUCAGGAUAUCUGAGUAUCGCAGUCCGAAAGGGCGUGGGUUCGAAUCCCACUCUUGUCA
Neurospora crassa OR74A is the source of this 91-nucleotide transfer RNA. It matches the Rfam family "tRNA". Rfam says of the family: Transfer RNA (tRNA) molecules are approximately 80 nucleotides in length. Their secondary structure includes four short double-helical elements and three loops (D, anti-codon, and T loops). Further hydrogen bonds mediate the characteristic L-shaped molecular structure. tRNAs have two regions of fundamental functional importance: the anti-codon, which is responsible for specific mRNA codon recognition, and the 3' end, to which the tRNAs corresponding amino acid is attached (by aminoacyl-tRNA synthetases). tRNAs cope with the degeneracy of the genetic code in two manners: having more than one tRNA (with a specific anti-codon) for a particular amino acid; and 'wobble' base-pairing, i.e. permitting non-standard base-pairing at the 3rd anti-codon position. The record is from Rfam. NCBI's taxonomy places the organism in Eukaryota, Fungi, Ascomycota, Sordariomycetes, Sordariales, Sordariaceae.